AUUGAACGCUGGCGGCAUGCCUUACACAUGCAAGUCGAACGGCAGCAUAGGAGCUUGCUCCUGAUGGCGAGUGGCGAACGGGUGAGUAAUAUAUCGGAACGUGCCCUGGAGUGGGGGAUAACUAGUCGAAAGACUAGCUAAUACCGCAUACGAUCUACGGAUGAAAGUGGGGGAUCGCAAGACCUCAUGCUCCUGGAGCGGCCGAUAUCUGAUUAGCUAGUUGGUGGGGUAAAAGCCUACCAAGGCGACGAUCAGUAGCUGGUCUGAGAGGACGACCAGCCACACUGGGACUGAGACACGGCCCAGACUCCUACGGGAGGCAGCAGUGGGGAAUUUUGGACAAUGGGGGCAACCCUGAUCCAGCAAUGCCGCGUGAGUGAAGAAGGCCUCCGGGUUGUAAAGCUCUUUUGUCAGGGAAGAAACGGUAGUAGCUAAUAUCUAUUACUAAUGACGGUACCUGAAGAAUAAGCACCGGCUAACUACGUGCCAGCCGCCGCAGUAA
Molecule: ribosomal RNA, 502 nt
Filed under: uncultured bacterium
Lineage: Bacteria
Description: partial 16S ribosomal RNA
Rfam family: Bacterial small subunit ribosomal RNA
Source: RNAcentral